AGAUGAUCCCGCGUUGUAUUAGCUAGUUGGUGAGGUAAAGGCUCACCAAGGCGAUGAUACAUAGCCGACCUGAGAGGGUGAUCGGCCACAUUGGGACUGAGACACGGCCCAAACUCCUACGGGAGGCAGCAGUAGGGAAUCUUCGGCAAUGGACGAAAGUCUGACCGAGCAACGCCGCGUGAGUGAAGAAGGUUUUCGGAUCGUAAAACUCUGUUGGUAGAGAAGAACGUUGGUGAGAGUGGAAAGCUCAUCAAGUGACGGUAACUACCCAGAAAGGGACGGCUAACUACGUGCCAGCAGCCGCGGUAAUACGUAGGUGGCGAGCGUUAUCCGGAUUUAUUGGGCGUAAAGGGAACGCAGGCGGUCUUUUAAGUCUGAUGUGAAAGCCUUCGGCUUAACCGGAGUAGUGCAU
Molecule: ribosomal RNA, 412 nt
Filed under: Klebsiella pneumoniae
Lineage: Bacteria; Pseudomonadati; Pseudomonadota; Gammaproteobacteria; Enterobacterales; Enterobacteriaceae
Description: bacterial SSU rRNA
Rfam family: Bacterial small subunit ribosomal RNA
Source: RNAcentral